CGGUUUAAGCGUGUAGGUGUGUGUUCCAGGUAAAUCCGGUUCACUUUAACACUGAGGCGUGAUGACGAGGCACUACGGUGCUGAAGCAACAAAUGCCCUGCUUCCAGGAAAAGCCUCUAAGCAUCAGGUAACAUCAAAUCGUACCCCAAACCGACACAGGUGGUCAGGUAGAGAAUACCAAGGCGCUUGAGAGAACUCGGGUGAAGGAACUAGGCAAAAUGGUGCCGUAACUUCGGGAGAAGGCACGCUGACACGUAGGUGAAGUGAUUUACUCAUGGAGCUGAAGUCAGUCGAAGAUACCAGCUGGCUGCAACUGUUUAUUAAAAACACAGCACUGUGCAAACACGAAAGUGGACGUAUACGGUGUGACGCCUGCCCGGUGCCGGAAGGUUAAUUGAUGGGGUCAGCGCAAGCGAAGCUCCUGAUCGAAGCCCCGGUAAACGGCGGCCGUAACUAUAACGGUCCUAAGGUAGCGAAAUUCCUUGUCGGGUAAGUUCCGACCUGCACGAAUGGCGUAAUGAUGGCCAGGCUGUCUCCACCCGAGACUCAGUGAAAUUGAACUCGCUGUGAAGAUGCAGUGUACCCGCGGCAAGACGGAAAGACCCCGUGAACCUUUACUAUAGCUUGACACUGAACAUUGAGCCUUGAUGUGUAGGAUAGGUGGGAGGCUUUGAAGCGUGGACGCCAGUCUGCGUGGAGCCGACCUUGAAAUACCACCCUUUAAUGUUUGAUGUUCUAACGUGGACCCGUAAUCCGGGUUGCGGACAGUGUCUGGUGGGUAGUUUGACUGGGGCGGUCUCCUCCUAAAGAGUAACGGAGGAGCACGAAGGUUGGCUAAUCCUGGUCGGACAUCAGGAGGUUAGUGCAAUGGCAUAAGCCAGCUUGACUGCGAGCGUGACGGCGCGAGCAGGUGCGAAAGCAGGUCAUAGUGAUCCGGUGGUUCUGAAUGGAAGGGCCAUCGCUCAACGGAUAAAAGGUACUCCGGGGAUAACAGGCUGAUACCGCCCAAGAGUUCAUAUCGACGGCGGUGUUUGGCACCUCGAUGUCGGCUCAUCACAUCCUGGGGCUGAAGUAGGUCCCAAGGGUAUGGCUGUUCGCCAUUUAAAGUGGUACGCGAGCUGGGUUUAGAACGUCGUGAGACAGUUCGGUCCCUAUCUGCCGUGGGCGCUGGAGAACUGAGGGGGGCUGCUCCUAGUACGAGAGGACCGGAGUGGACGCAUCACUGGUGUUCGGGUUGUCAUGCCAAUGGCACUGCCCGGUAGCUAAAUGCGGAAGAGAUAAGUGCUGAAAGCAUCUAAGCACGAAACUUGCCCCGAGAUGAGUUCUCCCUGAGACUUAGAGUCUCCUGAAGGAACGUUGAAGACGACGACGUUGAUAGGCCGGGUGUGUAAGCGCAGCGAUGCGUUGAGCUAACCGGUACUAAUGAACCGUGAGGCUUAACCUUAC
RNAcentral lists this ribosomal RNA (1446 nucleotides) under Salmonella enterica subsp. enterica serovar Thompson. RNAcentral describes it as "partial 23S ribosomal RNA". It matches the Rfam family "Bacterial large subunit ribosomal RNA", at positions 1508 to 2925 of the family's 2925-position model. The record is from RNAcentral. Lineage: Bacteria; Pseudomonadati; Pseudomonadota; Gammaproteobacteria; Enterobacterales; Enterobacteriaceae.